RNAcentral lists this ribosomal RNA (891 nucleotides) under Triticum aestivum (bread wheat). RNAcentral's name for it is "partial small subunit ribosomal RNA". Lineage: Eukaryota; Viridiplantae; Streptophyta; Magnoliopsida; Poales; Poaceae. The record is from RNAcentral.
AUGGAUGGAUCAUGCAGUGCGUCGCUGGGCCAUGCUUCCAUCAAUGAUUUUGUCUACGUGGAUCUCACAUGUGAGGAAAAUCUAGAGACAUGUUUCCGCUCCGGCCCAAGCCUGGUGAAGGGCCGGAGCUCCGCUCCACUCGUCAGAAGUUUCAUAAGCAUCGACUGUGGAUAUACCACAAACCCGACUUACAUAGAUUCCAAGACAGGUAUAUCAUAUGUAAGGGAUGAGGGUUUCACUGAUACAGGACUCAUCCACAAUGUUGACAAGGAGAAUUUGCAGCCUGACCUUGCAGAGCGGUACGAUAACCUUCGCUUCUUUCCCAGCGGAGAACGUAACUGCUACACACUACGGUCCCUAACACCGGGUGGCAAGUACCUUCUUAGGGCUGCAUUUGGCUAUGGUGACUAUGACAAGCUAAACAGUCUUCCUACCUUUGAUCUUUACUUUGGGGCCAACUACUGGACAACAGUGACCAUUGUCAAUUCCAGUACAGCGUACGUGUUUGAGAUAAUUGCUUUGUGCCCUUCCGACUUCCUGCAGAUUUGCUUGGUGAAUAUAGGAUCCGGAACUCCUUUCAUCUCAGGGCUUGAUUUGAGGUCACUCAAAGAAAAUCUUUAUCCGCAGGCCAAUGUGGGACAGGCCCUUGUUUUGCUCAGCUUUUUUCGUGACACAGUUGGUUUUGGACCCAAUCGCUACCACUUCGGAACAAACUAUAUGCACAUUAGGUUCCCAGAUGACCCCUACGACCGAAUGUGGCAGAGAUACCAAGAUGUUCCCAGCUGGACAGAUGUAACCAACAAAUCGGAUGAGCCUGUCCAGAACUCUCCAAACAACAACUACGAUGCACCAUCGGCAGUGAUGCGUAGUGCGUCCACUCCAGGGCCAUAA